Molecule: long non-coding RNA, 177 nt
Organism: Planococcus citri (citrus mealybug)
Lineage: Eukaryota; Metazoa; Arthropoda; Insecta; Hemiptera; Pseudococcidae
Exons: 3
Source: RefSeq, a predicted model, not a curated record
UGCAAACUUGUAAUGAUCCUUCUCCAUUGGAAUAUUAUAAGGAAACCGACAAUGCGGAUUUUGCCAUCAGAAUGAAAUCGGAAGGACAAAAAAUACUCGUCACCAUCUCGUACGAUACAGAUACCAAUUCAGCUGAUAAUUUCUUCAAAAGCCAAUUGACAGAAUGUUUGAUUGACG